RNAcentral lists this ribosomal RNA (445 nucleotides) under uncultured bacterium. RNAcentral's name for it is "partial 16S ribosomal RNA". It matches the Rfam family "Bacterial small subunit ribosomal RNA", at positions 354 to 796 of the family's 1533-position model. The record is from RNAcentral.
GUGAGGAAUUUUACGCAAUGGGCGAAAGCCUGACGGAGCAAUGCCGCGUGAAGGAUUAAGGUCCUCUGGAUUGUAAACUUCUUUUAUAAGGGACGAAAAAAGGCUUUUCUAAGUCGUCUGACGGUACCUUAUGAAUAAGCACCGGCUAACUCCGUGCCAGCAGCCGCGGUAAUACGGAGGGUGCAAGCGUUAUCCGGAUUCCCUGGGUUUAAAGGGUGCGUAGGCGGGCCGGUAAGUCAGUGGUGAAAUCCUAGAGCUUAACUAUAGACCUGCCAUAGAUACUAUCUGUCUUGAAUAUUGUUGAGGUAAGCUGAUUAUGUCAUGUAGCAGUGAAAUGCUUAGAUAUGACAUAGAGCACCUAUUGCGAAGGCAGAUUACUACGCAUAUAUUGACGCUGAGGAACGAAAGCGUGGGGAUCAAACAGGAUUAGAAACCCCAGUAGUCC